AUGCAGAAAAUAGUCAGUAAUUGCUUCUCCUUUCAACUUUUCUCUUUAGUCCCUUCUCAGUCUGAUUCAGCAAACAGUGAUUGCCUGUCUUCUACCUGCUGGGAGUUUGCUGAGCCUUGUGUGCUGACAAAAAGAGUCAAACUCUGUAAAAUAUUUGAGGAGAUUUAUUCUGAGCCAAAUAUGAGUGGCCAUGGCCCAUGACACAGCCCUCAGGAGGUCCUGAGAACAUGUGCCCAAGAUAUUUUUAGUUGACAGCCUAAUAGACCAACUCAUUGUGAUAACCCCAAAGAAGAUAAAGAAUAAAUUCACCCAGUUCUUUAUAAGAGAAACAUCUAAUUGCCAGGGGGAAACUACCGCUUUCACAAUUCAAGCAGCCUCUUGACAAUCUGAUCUGGAGUCCGUCAUGGUCAGAUUCAGGAAUCAUCAAGCUGAGAACUUGAAAUGAAGCACAAACCCACACCAGCCAGUGCAGCCACAGAGGGAGAAUAAAGAUCAACAAAUAAAGGUGAAGAGAAAUGUAAAGGAAAAAACCCACAUUAAAUGGAUUUCAAACACAGUGUUAAAAACAUUAGCUAAUAUCUGAUGUGGAAAAUGCAAUGUUUUCAAAUUUGAAAUAAUCCGGGCAUUCUGAAAUUGAUAGUGUAGGUGCCAAGGGAAAACCUCUUUGUCCUCUGAAGGUUCCUCCCAGGCAGCAGGACACAGACAGAAUAAAUGGUAAAUAUUUCUUUCAGGCUUUGUUUUUUUUUUUUUUUUUUAAUUGUAAAAAAUAACUUUAGAAUUUUUUUUUCACUUAGAUUUGCAUGGUUGCAAGAUUUACUUUUAUUUCAUUUUAUUUUUAACUUUUAUUUUAGAUUCAGGGAUACAUGUAUGUGAAGGUUUGUUAUAUAAGUCAAUUAAAUGUUGUAGGGGUUUGGUGUGCAGGUUAUUUUGUACCCAAGUAAUAAGUAUAGUACUCUACUGGUAAUUUUACAAUCCUUACCAUCAAAUAGGCCCCAGUGUCUGCCAUUCCCUUCUUUGGGUUUAUAUGUAGUUGAUAUUUAGC
This 1042-nucleotide long non-coding RNA is filed under the name Papio anubis (olive baboon). Its description in RNAcentral is "lncRNA (ENSPANG00000037653.1)". Lineage: Eukaryota; Metazoa; Chordata; Mammalia; Primates; Cercopithecidae. The record is from RNAcentral.